RNAcentral lists this ribosomal RNA (332 nucleotides) under Terribacillus aidingensis. RNAcentral describes it as "bacterial LSU rRNA". It matches the Rfam family "Bacterial large subunit ribosomal RNA", at positions 2595 to 2925 of the family's 2925-position model. Lineage: Bacteria; Bacillati; Bacillota; Bacilli; Caryophanales; Bacillaceae. The record is from RNAcentral.
GGUACGCGAGCUGGGUUCAGAACGUCGUGAGACAGUUCGGUCCCUAUCCGUCGUGGGCGUUGGAAGUUUGAGAGGAGCUGUCCUUAGUACGAGAGGACCGGGAUGGACGCACCGCUGGUGCACCAGUUGUUCCGCCAGGAGCAUAGCUGGGUAGCUACGUGCGGAAGGGAUAAGUGCUGAAAGCAUCUAAGCAUGAAGCCCCCCUCAAGAUGAGACUUCCCAUCAUUUUAAAUGAGUAAGAUCCCUCAGAGACGAUGAGGUAGAUAGGUUCGAGGUGGAAGCGUGGUGACACGUGCAGCUGACGAAUACUAAUCGAUCGAGGACUUAACUAA